GACGAACGCUGGCGGCGUGCUUAACACAUGCAAGUCGAACGGAAAGGCCUCUUUCGGGGGGUCCUCGAGUUGCGAACGGGUGAGUAACACGUGAGUAACCUGCCCUUGACUUUGGGUUAACUUCAGGAAACUGGGGCCAUUACCGGAUAGGAGCUCCCGCUGCAUGGUGGGGGCUGGAAAGUUUCGGCGGUUGGGGGUGGACUCGCGGCUGAUCAGCUUGUUGGUGGGGUAGUGGCUUACCAAGGCUUUGGCGGGUAGCCGGACUGGGAGGGUGAGCGGCCACAGUGGGACUGAGAUACGGCCCAGACUCCUACGGGAGGGGGCAGCAGGGGAGGUUGCAAAAUGGGUAGGGGCCCGAUGCAGCACCGCCCAGGGCGGGUGAGCGGUCUAGGGGUUGGAAUCCGAAUGCGCUCAUGACGAAGCAUUGUGUGACGGUAGUGGGUAAAGAAGCCCCGGCUAACUACGUG
Molecule: ribosomal RNA, 467 nt
Filed under: uncultured bacterium
Lineage: Bacteria
Description: partial 16S ribosomal RNA
Rfam family: Bacterial small subunit ribosomal RNA
Source: RNAcentral